Macaca fascicularis (crab-eating macaque) is the source of this 102-nucleotide small nucleolar RNA. Lineage: Eukaryota; Metazoa; Chordata; Mammalia; Primates; Cercopithecidae. The record is from Ensembl.
UUCCUGUUGGUUCCUAAGCGUGAUGAUUGGGUUUUCACAUUCAUGUGUGACAUGUGCCUCCCUCAAAUCUUGUGAUGAUGUCAUCACAUGACCCAUCUGACG